CCGGCGACCGGCGCACGGGUGAGUAACACGUAUGCAACCUGCCCGUCUCAGGGGGAUAAUCGUCGGAAACGGCGUCUAAUACCCCGUAUGAAGCUGGAUGGCAUCGUCUGGUUUUGAAAGAAUAUCGGAGACGGAGUGGGCAUGCGGCGCAUUAGCUAGUUGGCGGGUAACGGCCCACCAAGGCGACGAUGCGUAGGGGUUCUGAGAGGAAGGUCCCCCACACUGGUACUGAGACACGGACCAGACUCCUACGGGAGGCAGCAG
RNAcentral lists this ribosomal RNA (264 nucleotides) under uncultured bacterium. RNAcentral describes it as "partial 16S ribosomal RNA". It matches the Rfam family "Bacterial small subunit ribosomal RNA", at positions 88 to 354 of the family's 1533-position model. The record is from RNAcentral.